GACAGAGGGUGCAAACGUUGUUCGGAAUUACUGGGCGUAAAGCGUGUGUAGGCGGCCAUAUAAGUCGGAUGUGAAAGCCCUAGGCUCAACCCAGGAAGUGCACUCGGAUACCUGUAUGGCUUGAGUACUGGAGAGGUUGGUGGAAUUCUCGGUGUAGAGGUGAAAUUCGUAGAUAUCGAGAGGAACACCGGUGGCGAAGGCGGCCAACUGGACAGAUACUGACGCUGAGACACGAAAGCGUGGGGAGCAAACAGG
RNAcentral lists this ribosomal RNA (255 nucleotides) under uncultured bacterium. RNAcentral describes it as "partial 16S ribosomal RNA". It matches the Rfam family "Bacterial small subunit ribosomal RNA", at positions 524 to 776 of the family's 1533-position model. The record is from RNAcentral.